Molecule: long non-coding RNA, 3949 nt
Organism: Brassica rapa (field mustard)
Lineage: Eukaryota; Viridiplantae; Streptophyta; Magnoliopsida; Brassicales; Brassicaceae
Source: RefSeq, a predicted model, not a curated record
GUGGAUGCGAGCAAGGAAGUUUCGGUGUCGGCUCCACUUGUUGAGUUUCUCGGAUGGUUCCUUGACUUGAGAAAAUUGUUUUUGGUUUUUUUGUUUUCGAUUCUCUCGGACAAUGAAAGAACAAAAAUGUUGUUUCUUUUUUUUUUUUUUUAAUUCAGACGUUGCUUCAUACAUUUUUAGUUAUGGAUAACAAUUAUGAUAUGAGGUAAGACGACCAUGACUCAGUCAUAUGACACAAAGUCUCCUUCGUUAUUCCUCCUCAAUUGGCAAUUUAUGUCAUGCCCUAGUUUUUUUGGUUAUCACUCAUGUGCUGGGAGCACAUUUGCACAGGGCCCAUUACAAUUUUGAAAUUUUUUAGCCCAAAAUAAGGCCCGAAAAUGUUUUAAAUUGUUUUUUUUCUUAAAGAAAAGGGCCCAGAUUUUUUUUCUUCUUCUUAAGAAGGCCCUAAAAUUUUUUUUUCAGCACAGGGCCUCACCUACAACUGAGACGGGCCUGACGGUGACAUUAGGUAACUUACAAUGCUGAAUAAAUAUCAAGUCCCCCUGCGAUUAGUGAAUUCAAAAACUCUAUAAUUUCUCUCUCAGAUUCAGCAUUCAACAGUAAGAAUGAGUUGCACAACUUGUUACGCUCAAUCCUUUACCUUCUCUACAGAGCAGUCUCGAGCUGACUGUCUUUGCAAGUUUGCCCCAUCACAAGUUUCCUUCAUGAGAAACUUGCUAAUAGACACCAAUGUGACAUAUAAUUUCAUUUCUACUAUUACACCAAACCAUUAUUUUUAAAAAAAAUUGAUCAUCUUCUUCACAUGUAUUUCUUCUCCUUUUUCACGAUUGCCAUGGUGUAGCUGAUGUUGUUCUCUCAUGAUCAAACUCUUCCUCAUUACUCUAUUCAUCUCUGUUUCAGUUUGCUUGUGAGAACAAAUACAAUAAAAGGCAAAGGCCCAUGGUAUUGGAAUCAUUUCGUGCCAAUCUUACUACACAAUACCGCCGCCGUCUAGUCGCUGGUUCCACGGUCUCUCCUUCUCCGCCGACGUCUAGUCGAAAAGGCAGUUCCUCCAGUAGAAGCUAUGUUUCCGUGAAUCAUCAUCACAUGACCCCCCUCUUACCAUCGUAGAUCCGACGAUCCUGUUCCUCUUUGUGCUAUCCUUCUGAUUUUUUUCAUCUCUUUCUUUUGUUUCUCACUCAUUUUUUUCACAAAUCAGAUAAGUUCAACUUUGAGUUAUCACUAUGCUUAUAUGCACAUAUAUUUGAUGUUUUCCAAUUAAUGAAUCGUCGAAUCCAGAUGUUAAUGGAACAAGUUGACCAUAGCAUUAGCUGGUUUAAUUAAUUUUAGUUCGUUUGGCUAAGAGUAAACUGAAUAAAACUAGCAAACCGAUGUAAAAUUAUGGUUUAUGGGUAAUUAAGUUUUGAACUAUCGUUUCAUGGAAAAAUAGAUUUGUAACCUUCAAUUUGUGGUGAUCUAACACGAGGUUAUAGUUUGGUGGGGUUCUAAUGCUAUAUGAUACUAGGGACUGUCCCGGGCUACGCCCGGGUUUUUGUCAAUAAUUUUAGUAUUUAUAACUUAACAUUUGUAUUUGUAAAUAUACAUUAGAAUUUAUCAUAUGUUACAAAAUAAUAAAAAAUCUAAUUUAUUUUUGUAUUCAUUGUUUUUUUCAAUGAAUUCAAAAUGGUUAAAACUCACAAUUAGUUGUGUUUUUUUACAUUGAAAUUUGUAUAUAGUAUUGUGAGAAAAAUGUACUGACAGUUAUUAAACUUUAGUAAUGUUCAGAAAUAUAUUUUAUUUCGAUUAUUUUGAUGUAAAAUAAUUGAUAAAUUUAUAAAUGAUGUAACCACAUUGUUAUGGCUUUAAAAUUAUUGAGCUCAUGUUUAUAGGUCUUCCAUCCUCAAAAGAAAGUACAAACCAACAUAUUAACUGGCUUCUUACUUGGCUUAUUUCAAUUGAGAAAUUAAGUUCAUUGGUCUAACUAAGUUUACAGCUAGGCAAACUUUGUUUGACCAAAACUACAAAAGAGUAUUGUCCUCCAAACCGGGGCAUAGUUCAUGAAAACACAAUACAAAUUAGAAUAUGACAUAAACAAAACUAAACCAAAGAAAAAAUCAGGCUUUUCUGAAAAACUUGACAUUUUUUUUUCCAGAAAUAAGCUAAGCUUCUUUGCCGAAAAAUAAGAUCCCUCACUCAUGUUUACUAAGUGAGGAACCUAUGCUCUUCUUUUUUGGCAUCGUCCUCCUCGUCAUCGCUUGUUAAAUAAUCUUUCUUUUCUUUCUUUACUACUGGAUUUUUUUUUCCUUUUUGGUUGUAAAUGCACUUAUAAAAUAGUUUUUUGUGAUAUCAUAGGACACAAUCUAAUUUGCUGUGUUAAUCUUUUCAUAAACUUAGAAACUGUCGUAUUCAGUUAGUAGAAAAAAUCCAUAUAGACACGAAAUGGUCACUAUAGUUCGUGACUAUUUUUAAAUUAGAUACGAAAUUGUCACAAAACUAGAGUCGUGACAAAGAAAAUCAUGAAAUUGUCACGAAACAAAAACCGUGACAAAAAAAAGUCACGAAAUAGACACAGAUAAAAAACGUGACUGCUGAAAAACACGCUUUUGCUAUAGAUAUUUGGUGACAAAAUGAUCAUCAAGAUAAACAUGAAUAAAAGUGUGACAAAUUUACAAAAAAAUUUAUCUUUGUCACGGUUUAGUCACUAAUAUAUUCGUGACUAUUUGAAACCCUAAACACUAAACGAAAUAGUAAGCCCUAAACAAAAUUUUAAAACCCUAAAAUAUAUAUAAAACCUUUAAAAUCUAACCUUUUUUAUAUUUUAACUUUAAAUCUUCAAGAUUAAACUCAAAAUUUGAUUCCAACCUUAAUAUAAACCCCCCCCCCCCCCCCCCCCCCACAAACAAUAUACUAAGCAUCUACUUAUCCAAACUCCAAAACAUAUAUCAUAUAUCUGAUUUAAAAUUACUUUUCAUUUUACUCCAAAUUCACUCUCUAAACUUUAACUUUAAAUUUCAAAUUUUAACCAUAAACUAUAUAAUAUGAACCAUUAAAUUAUUUUAAAAUCUUAAUCCCAAAUAUAAACUUAAACUUUGAACCUUAUUCCUAAAUUUCAAACCACAUGUUAUUGUUUACUAUAAUUUUAACCUUCUACCUUCUCUAAGAAAAGUUUUUUUACAUCAGGCUACUUUUAGUUAUUCAGUUAUAAACGAAUUGGACCAUAAGCAUAACUCGUAAAACACACCCCAAACCCUGAACUUCUAACUCGUAAACACAAACACUAUCAAGUUUAUGUUAUUACGUCUGCGUCAACUUCGAAACAAUAAAAAAUACUUAUUUAAUUAGUAGGUGGUUUCUCAUUGGCUAGUUUAUGAAAGAGCGGAUUGCACUUUGUUUGUUAUCCACCAUUGAUAGAGAAAAAUCUAACGGACACAAAUGAUCUAUUCUUUUCUUUCCUCUUUCUUCCUUCACUCAACUCUUUUCUUUCUUCAGAUUGAAUCUUUUCUCCUGCUCUCUUCGUUACACGUUAACAUAGAACGUCUAUGAUUAAAUCUGAGAAAUGAAAUAAGUGAUGAAACGCAAAGGAGAAGUGGUGGCGUGAUGAAGCAGACGCGGUGGUGGCGUGAGGAUCGGAGGCAGUGUGACGAACUGGUCCUCUGAACAACGAAAUGAAUUUUCACAAGAGCCUGAGAUGACUCGGUGGUUUCAGUUUAGAUGACUCGGUGAGUUCGAGAAGAGGAAGAUGGAGAUUGGUGAAUGUGUCCAGGCUAGGCGGCGGUGGAGGCGAGACGAAUGAAAGCUUACCGGUAGUGGACGUGUGAUACGGAGGUGAACCGGAGGCGGAGGUGACAAAAGCGGUGGCGGAGGCUCAACGUAGAAAUAUGUUUUUUUAUUUGUUAUAUUUUAUAACUAAUUAAUAAAAAUAUUUUUUUUUUAUCUUUUUUUUUAAUAAUAGUCACGUAUUAGUCAUAAA